Molecule: non-coding RNA, 224 nt
Organism: Pelobates cultripes (western spadefoot toad)
Lineage: Eukaryota; Metazoa; Chordata; Amphibia; Anura; Pelobatidae
Source: the annotation of a GenBank genome assembly
CAUUGUAAUGGGACACUUUUCUUGGAAGUUUGUUUAAAUGGGCACUGUCACUGUCUAGGAACUUUGCCCAAUUUGCAAGGGCCCCCAAUGGUGACAUUACUGCUGGGUGUCCAGAGGCCAGGGGGAGGGGGCAGAUAAACGUGAUAUUUACCUACCUGAACCUGUCCCUUGUGGGUGUCGCCAUCUUAUUUUCAGGCGGGUCCUCUUCAGCUCCGAAGUCACUG